UCACACGGUCCUCGUGGCUUGACCGGCGC
This 29-nucleotide non-coding RNA is filed under the name Bombyx mori (domestic silkworm). Lineage: Eukaryota; Metazoa; Arthropoda; Insecta; Lepidoptera; Bombycidae. The record is from RNAcentral.